Symphalangus syndactylus (siamang) is the source of this 869-nucleotide long non-coding RNA. RefSeq lists it as uncharacterized. Lineage: Eukaryota; Metazoa; Chordata; Mammalia; Primates; Hylobatidae. The record is from RefSeq and is a predicted model, not a curated record.
GAUCUGUCAUCUCUGCAGUUCUGGUUUGUACAUUCAUGAAAGCUAAGUGGGUUCAUGCAAACAUCCUGUGUUGCAGCAUCAGAGAUGUUCUGGGGAAAAAGUGACACCAGGUCUGAGUGAGGUGUUGUCGAGAAGCUCCUGAGGAAAGCUGGUGGAUAUCUACAUGGGAGAUAUGAAGUGACACACAAGAAAGCCUGGGCAUGUAAGAAGCUUGGAAAUCAUCACUCAUGUAUUUACAAGAAGAAAAAAACUGAACAAACUGAAAAUCAUUGGCUCUCCAUCAACACUCAGAGGACUGAAGCUGCAUGGCAAUUUGACACCCUGAAAUCUGGAGAGACAGAUGGAUACAGAGAGUCACAGCCAAGGUCUCACCGGGAGCAGAUGCCUCUGGAGCCACAAACUGUGCUAUAAAGACAUACCAGAGAGGGUAAUUUAUAAAGAGAAGAGGUUUAAUUGACUUGCAGUUCUGCAUGGCUUGGGAGGCCCCAGGAAACUUACAAUCAUGGCAGAAGGGAAAGAGGCACCUUUUACAUGGCAACAGUUUCUAUGAAAAUCAUCUUCCUAGAAAUAGAAGAGCAUGACAAUAACAAGCCUUAAACCUAAGUUAAGAAACCUGAAUCCUAGUUCUGUCUGUGUCAUCAACUAUGGACCUUGGUUCUCCAAGGAUACAAAGAUGAAUGGAUGAGGGUGGCUCUGUUCAGUUGGAGUACAUUUAAGAAGAUGAGGCAUCUCCCUCGUGGUAAAGGAAUUCAAGGAAUGUGUGAAAUAUUUCCUUCUUUUUAAGAAUACACAGUUAUUUGGGGCUGAGAUAUACCAUGGAACUUGAGUAAGACCCAUGUAUUCAUACCAAAUGUAUGCCAAAGGAUAAA